CUACGGGGGGCAGCAGUGGGGAAUAUUGCACAAUGGGCGCAAGCCUGAUGCAGCCAUGCCGCGUGUAUGAAGAAGGCCUUCGGGUUGUAAAGUACUUUCAGCGGGGAGGAAGGGAGUAAAGUUAAUACCUUUGCUCAUUGACGAUACCCGCAGAAGAAGCACCGGCUAACUCCGUGCCAGCAGCCGCGGUAAUACGGAGGGUGCAAGCGUUAAUCGGAAUUACUGGGCGUAAAGCGCACGCAGGCGGUUUGUUAAGUCAGAUGUGAAAUCCCCGGGCUCAACCUGGGAACUGCAUCUGAUACUGGCAAGCUUGAGUCUCGUAGAGGGGGGUAGAAUUCCAGGUGUAGCGGUGACAUGCGUAGAGAUCUGGAGGAAUACCGGUGGCGAAGGCGGCCCCCUGGACGAAGACUGACGCUCAGGUGCGAAAGCGUGGGGAGCAAACAGGAUUAGAUACCCUUGUAGUC
RNAcentral lists this ribosomal RNA (464 nucleotides) under uncultured bacterium. Its description in RNAcentral is "partial 16S ribosomal RNA". It matches the Rfam family "Bacterial small subunit ribosomal RNA", at positions 339 to 795 of the family's 1533-position model. The record is from RNAcentral.